This 447-nucleotide ribosomal RNA is filed under the name uncultured bacterium. RNAcentral describes it as "bacterial SSU rRNA". It matches the Rfam family "Bacterial small subunit ribosomal RNA", at positions 329 to 793 of the family's 1533-position model. The record is from RNAcentral.
GCCCAGACUCCUACGGGAGGCAGCAGUAGGGAAUCUUUCACAAUGGGCGAAAGCCUGAUGGAGCAACGCCGCGUGCAGGAUGAAGGCCUUCGGGUUGUAAACUGCUUUUAUAAGCGAGAAAUAUGAUGGUAACUUAUGAAUAAGGAUCGGCUAACUACGUGCCAGCAGCCGCGGUCAUACGUAGGAUCCGAGCAUUAUCCGGAGUGACUGGGUGUAAAGGGAGCGUAGACGGCGGCGCAAGCCAGAUGUGAAAGCCCGGGGCUCAACUCCGGGACUGCAUUUGGAACUGUGUGGCUGGAGUGUCGGAGAGGCAGGCGGAAUUCCUAGUGUAGCGGUGAAAUGCGUAGAUAUUAGGAGGAACACCAGUGGCGAAGGCGGCCUGCUGGACGAUGACUGACGUUGAGGCUCGAAAGCGUGGGGAGCAAACAGGAUUAGAUACCCUAGUAU